CCGGCGACCGGCGCACGGGUGAGUAACACGUAUGCAACCUGCCCUCUUCAGGGGGACAACCUUCCGAAAGGGAGGCUAAUCCCGCGUAUAUCGGUUUCGGGCAUCCGAGAUCGAGGAAAGAUUCAUCGGAAGAGGAUGGGCAUGCGGCGCAUUAGCUAGACGGCGGGGUAACGGCCCACCGNGGCGACGAUGCGUAGGGGUUCUGAGAGGAAGGUCCCCCACACUGGUACUGAGACACGGACCAGACUCCUACGGAAGGCAGCAG
Molecule: ribosomal RNA, 265 nt
Filed under: uncultured bacterium
Lineage: Bacteria
Description: partial 16S ribosomal RNA
Rfam family: Bacterial small subunit ribosomal RNA
Source: RNAcentral